CCUACGGGUGGCAGCAGUGGGGAAUAUUGGACAAUGGGCGAAAGCCUGAUCCAGCCAUGCCGCGUGUGUGAAGAAGGCCUUCGGGUUGUAAAGCACUUUCAGUGGGGAAGAAAGCCUUGGGGCUAAUACCCUCGAGGAAGGACAUCACCCACAGAAGAAGCACCGGCUAACUCCGUGCCAGCAGCCGCGGUAAUACGGAGGGUGCGAGCGUUAAUCGGAAUUACUGGGCGUAAAGCGCGCGUAGGCGGUCUGAUAAGCCGGUUGUGAAAGCCCCGGGCUCAACCUGGGAACGGCAUCCGGAACUGUCAGGCUAGAGUGCAGGAGAGGAAGGUAGAAUUCCCGGUGUAGCAGUGAAAUGCGUAGAGAUCGGGAGGAAUACCAGUGGCGAAGGCGGCCUUCUGGACUGAUACUGACGCUGAGGUGCGAAAGCGUGGGUAGCAAACAGGAUUAGAUACCCUGGUAGUC
Molecule: ribosomal RNA, 465 nt
Filed under: Vreelandella stevensii
Lineage: Bacteria; Pseudomonadati; Pseudomonadota; Gammaproteobacteria; Oceanospirillales; Halomonadaceae
Description: partial 16S ribosomal RNA
Rfam family: Bacterial small subunit ribosomal RNA
Source: RNAcentral